GGGUGAGUAACACGUAGGCAACCUGCCCAAAAGAGGGGGAUAACACUUGGAAACAGGUGCUAAUACCGCAUAACCAUGAACACCGCAUGAUGUUCAUGUAAAAGACGGCUUUUGCUGUCACUUUUGGAUGGGCCUGCGGCGUAUUAACUUGUUGGUGGGGUAACGGCCUACCAAGGUGAUGAUACAUAGCCGAACUGAGAGGUUGAUCGGCCACAUUGGGACUGAGACACGGCCCAAACUCCUACGGGAGGCAGCAGUAGGGAAUCUUCCACAAUGGACGCAAGUCUGAUGGAGCAACGCCGCGUGAAUGAAGAAGGCCUUCGGGUCGUAAAAUUCUGUUGUCAGAGAAGAACGUGCGUGAGAGUAACUGUUCACGUAUUGACGGUAUCUGACCAGAAAGCCACGGCUAACUACGUGCCAGCAGCCGCGGUAAUACGUAGGUGGCGAGCGUUGUCCGGAUUUAUUGGGCGUAAAGGGAACGCAGGCGGUCCUUUAAGUCUGAUGUGAAAGCCUUCGGCUUAACCGAAGUAGUGCUUUGGAAACUGGAAGACUUGAGUGCAGAAGAGGAGAGUGGAACUCCAUGUGUAGCGGUGAAAUGCGUAGAUAUAUGGAGGAACACCAGUGGCGAAAGCGGCUCUCUGGUCUGUACUGACGCUGAGGUUCGAAAGCGUGGGUAGCAAACAGGAUUAGAUACCCUGGUAGUCCACGCCGUAAACGAUGAGUGCUAAGUGUUGGAGGGUUUCCGCCCUUCAGUGCCGCAG
This 761-nucleotide ribosomal RNA is filed under the name uncultured bacterium. RNAcentral describes it as "bacterial SSU rRNA". It matches the Rfam family "Bacterial small subunit ribosomal RNA", at positions 104 to 851 of the family's 1533-position model. The record is from RNAcentral.